This 398-nucleotide ribosomal RNA is filed under the name uncultured bacterium. RNAcentral describes it as "partial 16S ribosomal RNA". It matches the Rfam family "Bacterial small subunit ribosomal RNA", at positions 523 to 918 of the family's 1533-position model. The record is from RNAcentral.
AUACGUAGGGAGCGAGCGUUGUCCGGAAUUACUGGGCGUAAAGAGCUCGUAGGUGGUUUGUCGCGUCGUCUGUGAAAUUCCGGGGCUUAACUCCGGGCGUGCAGGCGAUACGGGCAUAACUUGAGUACUGUAGGGGAGACUGGAAUUCCUGGUGUAGCGGUGAAAUGCGCAGAUAUCAGGAGGAACACCGGUGGCGAAGGCGGGUCUCUGGGCAGUAACUGACGCUGAGGAGCGAAAGCAUGGGUAGCGAACAGGAUUAGAUACCCUGGUAGUCCAUGCCGUAAACGGUGGGCGCUAGGUGUAGGGGUCUUCCACGACUUCUGUGCCGUAGCUAACGCAUUAAGCGCCCCGCCUGGGGAGUACGGCCGCAAGGCUAAAACUCAAAUGAAUUGACGGGG